UGUUGGGUUUUUAAGUCCUACCUACA
Molecule: non-coding RNA, 26 nt
Filed under: Rattus norvegicus (Norway rat)
Lineage: Eukaryota; Metazoa; Chordata; Mammalia; Rodentia; Muridae
Source: RNAcentral